GGCGCCCGUAGCUCAGCCGGAUAGAGCACCAGAUUCCUAAUCUGGGGGCCAUGGGUUCGGAGUCGGAGGCACUUUGUGCCGGAGACGCAGCGCAGGCCAAUCCCGUCGGGCCUG
RNAcentral lists this transfer RNA (114 nucleotides) under Novosphingobium sp. RNAcentral describes it as "tRNA-Arg". It matches the Rfam family "tRNA". From Rfam's summary of the family: Transfer RNA (tRNA) molecules are approximately 80 nucleotides in length. Lineage: Bacteria; Pseudomonadati; Pseudomonadota; Alphaproteobacteria; Sphingomonadales; Sphingomonadaceae. The record is from RNAcentral.